ACAGCAGUCGCCGCGGUAAUACGGAGGAUCCAAGCGUUAUCCGGAAUCAUUGGGUUUAAAGGGUCCGUAGGCGGUCUUGUAAGUCAGUGGUGAAAGCCCAUCGCUCAACGGUGGAACGGCCAUUGAUACUGCAGGACUUGAAUUAUUGGGAAGUAACUAGAAUAUGUAGUGUAGCGGUGAAAUGCUUAGAGAUUACAUGGAAUACCAAUUGCGAAGGCAGGUUACUACCAAUUGAUUGACGCUGAUGGACGAAAGCGUGGGUAGCGAACAGGAUUAGAUACCCCCGUAGUCCCUGUCUCUUAUAC
This 305-nucleotide ribosomal RNA is filed under the name uncultured bacterium. RNAcentral's name for it is "partial 16S ribosomal RNA". It matches the Rfam family "Bacterial small subunit ribosomal RNA", at positions 508 to 807 of the family's 1533-position model. The record is from RNAcentral.